Molecule: transfer RNA, 72 nt
Filed under: Camelus bactrianus (Bactrian camel)
Lineage: Eukaryota; Metazoa; Chordata; Mammalia; Artiodactyla; Camelidae
Also listed under: 1 other name
Rfam family: tRNA
About the family: Transfer RNA (tRNA) molecules are approximately 80 nucleotides in length.
Source: Rfam by way of RNAcentral
GGGUACAGAGCUCAGUGGUAGAGCACGUGCUUAGCAUGCAUGAGGACAUGGGUUCAGUCCCCAGCGCCUCCA